Piliocolobus tephrosceles (Ugandan red Colobus) is the source of this 81-nucleotide small nucleolar RNA. NCBI's taxonomy places the organism in Eukaryota, Metazoa, Chordata, Mammalia, Primates, Cercopithecidae. The record is from Ensembl.
UUUUAAUGAUGAAAAACUGCUUAAUUGCAAGUAGGGACAUGAGAAUAGUGAAUGUGUUCGAUUUUACAUUGUCUGAAAAAA